RNAcentral lists this ribosomal RNA (936 nucleotides) under human gut metagenome. RNAcentral's name for it is "bacterial SSU rRNA". It matches the Rfam family "Bacterial small subunit ribosomal RNA", at positions 8 to 928 of the family's 1533-position model. The record is from RNAcentral.
AGAGUUUGAUCCUGGCUCAGAUUGAACGCUGGCGGAACGCUUUACACAUGCAAGUCGAACGGUAACGCGGAGAGAAGCUUGCUUCUCUCCGGCGACGAGUGGCGAACGGGUGAGUAAUACAUCGGAACGUGUCCGCUCGUGGGGGACAACCAGCCGAAAGGUUGGCUAAUACCGCAUGAGUUCUACGGAAGAAAGAGGGGGACCCGCAAGGGCCUCUCGCGAGCGGAGCGGCCGAUGACUGAUUAGCCGGUUGGUGAGGUAACGGCUCACCAAAGCAACGAUCAGUAGCUGGUCUGAGAGGACGACCAGCCACACUGGGACUGAGACACGGCCCAGACUCCUACGGGAGGCAGCAGUGGGGAAUUUUGGACAAUGGGCGCAAGCCUGAUCCAGCUAUUCCGCGUGUGGGAUGAAGGCCCUCGGGUUGUAAACCACUUUUGUAGAGAACGAAAAGACACCUUUUAAUAAAGGGUGUUGCUGACGGUACUCUAAGAAUAAGCACCGGCUAACUACGUGCCAGCAGCCGCGGUAAUACGUAGGGUGCGAGCGUUAAUCGGAAUUACUGGGCGUAAAGGGUGCGCAGGCGGUUGAGUAAGACAGAUGUGAAAUCCCCGAGCUUAACUCGGGAAUGGCAUAUGUGACUGCUCGACUAGAGUGUGUCAGAGGGAGGUGGAAUUCCACGUGUAGCAGUGAAAUGCGUAGAUAUGUGGAAGAACACCGAUGGCGAAGGCAGCCUCCUGGGACAUAACUGACGCUCAGGCACGAAAGCGUGGGGAGCAAACAGGAUUAGAUACCCUGGUAGUCCACGCCCUAAACGAUGUUAACUAGUUGUUGGGAAGUAAAAUUCUCAGUAACGCAGCCAACGCGAGAAGUUAACCGCCUGGGAAGUACGGUCGCAAGACUAAAACUCAAAGGAAUUGACGGGGACCCGCACAA